UACGAAGGGUGCAAGCGUUAAUCGGAAUUACUGGGCGUAAAGCGUGCGUAGGUGGUUUGUUAAGUCUGCUGUGAAAGCCCUGGGCUCAACCUGGGAAUGGCGGUGGAUACUGACAAGCUAGAGUGCGGUAGAGGAGGGUGGAAUUCCCGGUGUAGCGGUGAAAUGCGUAGAGAUCGGGAGGAACACCCGUGGCGAAGGCGGCCUGCUGGGCCGAUCCUGACGCUGAGGCGCGAAGGCGUGGGGAGCGAACGGG
This 253-nucleotide ribosomal RNA is filed under the name uncultured bacterium. Its description in RNAcentral is "partial 16S ribosomal RNA". It matches the Rfam family "Bacterial small subunit ribosomal RNA", at positions 524 to 776 of the family's 1533-position model. The record is from RNAcentral.